UUUAGAUGUAGCUUAGUGGUAGAGCACUGGACUCAUAAGCCAGCACGGACGCAGGUUCGAUUCCUACCAUCUGGAUC
Molecule: transfer RNA, 77 nt
Filed under: Dictyobacter formicarum
Lineage: Bacteria; Bacillati; Chloroflexota; Ktedonobacteria; Ktedonobacterales; Dictyobacteraceae
Description: tRNA-Met
Rfam family: tRNA
About the family: Transfer RNA (tRNA) molecules are approximately 80 nucleotides in length. Their secondary structure includes four short double-helical elements and three loops (D, anti-codon, and T loops).
Source: RNAcentral